GAUGAACGCUGGCGGCAGGCUUAACACAUGCAAGUCGAACGCAUCCUUCGGGGUGAGUGGCAGACGGGUGAGUAACGCGUGGGAACGUGCCCUUCAGUUCGGGAUAACCCAGGGAAACUUGGGCUAAUACCGGAUACGUGCGAGAGCAGAAAGAUUUAUCGCUGAAGGAUCGGCCCGCGUCUGAUUAGCUAGUUGGUGGGGUAAUGGCCCACCAAGGCGACGAUCAGUAGCUGGUCUGAGAGGAUGAUCAGCCACAUUGGGUCUGAGACACGGCCCAAACUCCUACGGGAGGCAGCAGUGGGGAAUAUUGGACAAUGGGCGCAAGCCUGAUCCAGCCAUGCCGCGUGAGUGAUGAAGGCCUUAGGGUUGUAAAGCUCUUUCGUCCGGGACGAUAAUGACGGUACCGGAAGAAGAAGCCCCGGUUAACUUCGUGCCAGCCGCCGCCGCGG
This 449-nucleotide ribosomal RNA is filed under the name uncultured bacterium. RNAcentral describes it as "partial 16S ribosomal RNA". It matches the Rfam family "Bacterial small subunit ribosomal RNA", at positions 28 to 523 of the family's 1533-position model. The record is from RNAcentral.